RNAcentral lists this ribosomal RNA (371 nucleotides) under uncultured bacterium. RNAcentral's name for it is "bacterial SSU rRNA". It matches the Rfam family "Bacterial small subunit ribosomal RNA", at positions 527 to 896 of the family's 1533-position model. The record is from RNAcentral.
GGGGGGGGCAAGCGUUGUUCGGAAUUACUGGGCGUAAAGGGCUCGUAGGUGGCCAACUAAGUCAGACGUGAAAUCCCCAGGCUUAACCUGGGAACUGCGUCUGAUACUGGAUGGCUUGAAUUCGGGAGAGGGAUGCAGAAUUCCAGGUGUAGCGGUGAAAUGCGUAGAUAUCUGGAGGAAUACCGGUGGCGAAGGCGGCAUCCUGGACCGAGAUUGACACUGAGGAGCGAAAGCUAGGGGAGCAAACGGGAUUAGAUACCCCGGUAGUCCUAGCCCUAAACGAUGAAUGCUUGGUGUGACGGGUAUCGAUCCCUGUCGUGCCGAAGCUAACGCAUUAAGCAUUCCGCCUGGGGAGUACGGUCGCAAGGCUG